Long non-coding RNA from Anoplopoma fimbria (sablefish), 910 nucleotides. RefSeq lists it as uncharacterized. The transcript is spliced from 10 exons. NCBI's taxonomy places the organism in Eukaryota, Metazoa, Chordata, Actinopteri, Perciformes, Anoplopomatidae. The record is from RefSeq and is a predicted model, not a curated record.
CGCAGGACCACUGCGCAGCUGCGGUGCGCAUAUAAGAGAAGUCGGAACCGGAAGUCCCGCCUCUUCCCUUCAGGACACAACCCCGAGCAGAGAGCAGCGCUGCACAGCCUCACGUCUGCAGAAUAAACACGUUUAAUGCAGUUUCAUCUGCGUUGCAAAGAUAUGCAGAUGAAGAUGGCAAGUUUGAUCCAUCACACCUGAUAAGAUGUGAAGCCACUACAGAUGGCCAAAUAUUGGUUUUCACCGUGCGGUCCUUGAGAUGUGAAGCCACCACCGCUACAGAUGGCCAAAUAUCGGUUUUCACCGUGCGGUCCUUGAGAUGUGAAGCCACUACAGAUGGCCAAAUAUUGGUUUUCACCGUGCGGUCCUUGAGAUGUGAAGCCACCACUGCCUUCUACAGAUGGCCAAAUAUUGGUUUUCACCGUGCGGUCCUUGAGAUGUGAAGCCACCACUGCCUUCUACAGAUGGCCAAAUAUUGGUUUUCACCAUGCGGUCCUUGAGAUGUGAAGCCACCACCACUACAGAUGGCCAAAUAUUGGUUUUCACCGUGCGGUCCUUGAGCUGCUUCAGAAGUCACACUUGGGUCCCAGGAGAUGCACCUGAUUAGAUUCUGUGCUGAUCAGGAGAGUUGCUGAAGUUGAUGGAUUAUCAGUUGGAGGAAAUCUGAAGUCAGUUGGCAGAUUUUAAAGAAAUAAUAAAACUUUCUUCAAGAAAAAUGGCUUGACUUUAUCUUUUGAAUUGGGUUGCCUGCAUAUCGUUUUCAACUGAGUAUUAAAUUUGAAUUAAAAUUUAAGGUGGUUGUGUAUGUAUUGAGUCUCCAGCUAUGAAGGAAUGAAAAAUAAAUAAUUGCAUCAACUGGGUUGUGGUUGGUGCGAUCUUGUUCUGCCUACCUGCUAAAUCUUCCGAGAGG